CUUUUUCACUCACUAUUUUUUUAAGGUUAUGUUAGUACAUCUAUAAGGUAAUAAAGGGUCAGAGAAUGUAGCCAAGCUAAGGUAAUAAAACUCGUUACCAUUCUCAAAAAAAAAAAAAAAAAAGG
This is a non-coding RNA of Nicotiana tabacum (common tobacco), 125 nucleotides long. Lineage: Eukaryota; Viridiplantae; Streptophyta; Magnoliopsida; Solanales; Solanaceae. The record is from RefSeq and is a predicted model, not a curated record.